AUUGAACGCUGGCGGCAUGCCUUACACAUGCAAGUCGAACGGCAGCACGGGUGCUUGCACCUGGUGGCGAGUGGCGAACGGGUGAGUAAUACAUCGGAACAUGUCCUGUAGUGGGGGAUAGCCCGGCGAAAGCCGGAUUAAUACCGCAUACGAACUACGGAUGAAAGCGGGGGACCUUCGGGCCUCGCGCUAUAGGGUUGGCCGAUGGCUGAUUAGCUAGUUGGUGGGGGAAAGGCCUACCAAGGCGACGAUCAGUAGCUGGUCUGAGAGGACGACCAGCCACACUGGGACUGAGACACGGCCCAGACUCCUACGGGAGGCAGCAGUGGGGAAUUUUGGACAAUGGGCGAAAGCCUGAUCCAGCAAUGCCGCGUGUGUGAAGAAGGCCUUCGGGUUGUAAAGCACUUUUGUCCGGAAAGAAAUCCUUGGCCCUAAUACGGUCGGGGGAUGACGGUACCGGAAGAAUAAGCACCGGCUAACUACGUG
Molecule: ribosomal RNA, 486 nt
Filed under: uncultured bacterium
Lineage: Bacteria
Description: partial 16S ribosomal RNA
Rfam family: Bacterial small subunit ribosomal RNA
Source: RNAcentral